Molecule: ribosomal RNA, 1875 nt
Filed under: Orbilia vinosa
Lineage: Eukaryota; Fungi; Ascomycota; Orbiliomycetes; Orbiliales; Orbiliaceae
Description: eukaryotic LSU rRNA
Rfam family: Eukaryotic large subunit ribosomal RNA (bases 955-1875)
Source: RNAcentral
GCUCACGAGAAGCCUUUGUGACCCCGCAAGGGGUGCCCGCCGCGACUGUAAAGAAGUAAAUGCCGGGCAUUAAAUCGCAAGUCGGCCCGCAGCAGGGCCGGCCACACUUUCGAACUGCGGGGACACCCUAAAGCCGGCCCCUACCAAACCGACCGGGAAACCGAGUCGGCGGCCGCUGUUAACCGCAGCGGGUACGGUAAGAACGGGGCCGGAUGGACGACAAUGGGCCAUCCGCAGCCGAGUCCCUAAGGCCUCCGCGGCACGGGAAAGGUUCACAGACUAGGUGGAAGUGGGCCGUCGGCGCAAGAAGCGCCUUCGGCUUAAGAUAUAGUCGGGCUCCGCGGGAAACUGAGGAGGAGUCGCUCGAGAAUAGAGUAACGCACAAACGUUCCGUAGGUGAACCUGCGGAAGGAUCAUUAAAAAGGUCUCUGACCAAAACCCUUUGGUCCGGUUCGCCGGCCAGAGUUCAACCACAGUGGUACACAUUUUUUGCUUCGGCAGCCGGUUGUUGACGCGAGUCACCGGCCGUGAGCCUGCCGGCAGCGCCAAAUCAAACCUGUUUUGAAAACCAGUCUGAACUAAUGAUUUCUUGAAUGAAAAUCAAAACUUUCAACAACGGAUCUCUUGGUUCUCGCAUCGAUGAAGAACGCAGCGAAACGCGAUAGUUAAUGUGAAUUGCAGAAUUCAGUGAAUCAUCGAGUCUUUGAACGCACAUUGCGCCCCUCGGUAUUCCGGCGGGCAUGUCUGUUUGAGCGUCAUUACAAACCCCCUCGGCCGGUCGCUUUUCUGUCGUCCGGCCGGUGCUGAGCCCGCCCGACCGCCUCUCCGGAGGCGUGGCCGGCUUUAAACCGGACGCUACGCGAGCGGUCCUGACCGAAAGAACAUAGUAGAUUCGUUUCCACUGUUCCUCCAGGUCGCGGCCCGCUUCGCCUGAACAAAACCGAUCACAAGGUUUGACCUCAGAUCAGACAAGGAUACCCGCUGAACUUAAGCAUAUCAAUAAGCGGAGGAAAAGAAACCAACCGGGAUUGCCUCAGUAACGGCGAGUGAAGCGGCAAGAGCUCAAAUUUGAAAUCUGGGACCUUCGGUCUCCGAGUUGUAAUUUGAAGAGGAUGCCUCGGUUGCAGCCCCGGCCUAAGUUCCUUGGAACAGGACGUCGCAGAGGGUGAGAAUCCCGUACGCGGCCGCGGGCUUGCUUCCACGUGUGGCUCCCUCGAAGAGUCGAGUUGUUUGGGAAUGCAGCUCAAAAUGGGUGGUAAGUUUCAUCUAAGGCUAAAUACUGGCGAGAGACCGAUAGCGCACAAGUAGAGUGAUCGAAAGAUGAAAAGCACUUUGAAAAGAGAGUUAAACAGUACGUGAAAUUGUUGAAAGGGAAGCGCUUGCGAUCAGACUCGCGCGCGGUUGAUCAACGUUCCUUCUGGUUCGUGCACUCUGCCGCGCUGCGGGCCAGCGUCGGUCGGGACGGCGGGACAAAGGCUCCGGGAAUGUGGCUCCCCUCGGGGAGUGUUAUAGCCCGGCGCGCAAUGCCGCCAGCCCCGACCGAGGUCCGCGGUUUUACCUAGGACGCUGGCUUAAUGGUCGUAAGCGACCCGUCUUGAAACACGGACCAAGGAGUCUAACAUCCACGCGAGUGUUUGGGCGUCAAACCCAUGCGCGCAAUGAAAGUGAACGGAGGUGGGAGCCCUUGGGCGCACCAUCGACCGAUCCUGAUGUCCUCGGAUGGAUUUGAGUAGGAGCGUGGCUGUUGGGACCCGAAAGAUGGUGAACUAUGCCUGAAUAGGGUGAAGCCAGAGGAAACUCUGGUGGAGGCUCGCAGCGGUUCUGACGUGCAAAUCGAUCGUCAAAUUUGGGUAUAGGGGCGAAAGACUAAUCGAA